GUUGCAGUAGUCGGUGCGCGCUAAUGCGCGCGACUACAUCCGCGUGUCGUGGUCUUACGCGCGCGCAGGUGCGGGCGGCCCGAUCGCUGCCAUUCUUUUUUCGAUUUCCAAGCUCUAACUAUGAGUUAGAGCUCGUCGGCCUUGCGAGAUGUCUCAAUUUUCUUCACUUGGGCGAACGGAGAACAUAGAAAAGCAACAAAUGAAUACAUUUGUCUAAAUUUGUAUGAUGAACCAAGUGAAGAUUUCCCAUAGGCCACCGGAUGAAAUCCAGUUAAAUGUUCGAUGGCUAAUGAACGACAUUAUACACUCAUACGUAUCUACGUGAUCUUCUCCUACCGUCAACAAAGACCAAUGACUUAACGAGAUGGAAGAGGUGGAGGAGAGGAGACACGCGGAGGACUACGAUCACGAUGACGACGACGACGAAGACGACGACGACGACGACUUUAGAAUCGAGCAAUAGAAGGUGCUCUCUCGAGGUCGCUGUCCACCCUGAGGUCACCCUCCUAUACCCACCGACCGAACAAUAUCCGAUGGGAACCCUUUAAGAAGGAGAGGAGGAAUGGAGAAGCAGAAAAAGAAAAAGAAGGAGAAAGAUACGCGUCAUCCAGAGGAGUAAAAGCGAGAAAGAAAGAUAGCUGAGGGACAAUGCGAGACUUUGUUCAGAGGCACGCAGAACACCCGUGCAGCACGUAGAGAGUCUUUGAUAGAGGGGAGGAAGACGUCGACAUCGACGUCGACGACACGACGGCGACGACGACGACGACGACGACGACGACGAUGAAGGCGACGACGGAGACGUCGUCUGGAGUCUCGGUGAACCCGUGCAACGAAUCGAUUUUACGAGAGUCUUUUUUUCCAGAGGGUGAAGAAGGAAGAGGAUGGUUAAAACGAAAUGGAUGGGCUCGCGAGAAGAAGACUCCUCACUCUCUCUUUCUCUUGCAUUUUAUUCCACUGUGAUUUCUUUCAAUUCGGUUAAAAUCUUUGGAUAAGUCCGUGAAAAAUCAAGAAAACAAACUGCCUCGACGAAUCGAAUACCUUUAUUUAGCUUUUUUUCGAAUAUCGAGAAAAAAUAUUUAUUAUAUAUUGUGACCGCCAUGUUGUUAGAAUUGCGUCACGUGACCACGUGCAGCCAUCUUGAUUAUUCGUAUAAUUAACGAAACAAUAGAUAUUUAAAGAUAAAUAUUAUCGCGAUAGAUAAUCUUAACAGGAAUAAGCUUAUUUCUACGAAUUGUUAAGAUUAUUUUUAUCUUUCGUAUCCCCAUUUAUGGUCUACAUACUUAUCUCAUCCUACUUGUUUGACUUUUAGUUUUAAUCGCAAAUGAAAAUUCUUGAACGACGCAUUGAGACGCGCCAUGAUAAAGCGUCGCGCACGAGCUACGAAUGGCUUGCACGUAUAUUAAUCCUCCGGCAACAACCUUCCACAAAGUAAAUACAACGUGACCAAUGUCAAGGCUAACGCUGCUACUCGCGCUGCCGUUCGCUGCCGCGCGUGUGCGGUGAGUGCAGCAGGCGCUCGCGCUCAUUGCACAAAUCUCAUAGGCUCUCUCGUUAUAGAAACGCGCGAACUCGUACGCAACCGAUAUUAAAGCGCAUUAUUCUUAUCGCUCGAUUUUCCAUCGAAAAUAAUCGCUACUCGUUGCACGCGUUUGGAUCAUGCGAAUAUCGUUUAUAAUUAGACUCAAAUAUUCAUUCGAAUUGACUCCGGGACACAACUUGGAUUAUUUUUGAUUUUAUUUUGAUUUUAUUUAGAUUUUAUUUUGAUCGCGCAUUAUCUCGACCAGUUAAUAAAUGAAUAUAUUAUUUAUCGCGCGUACGUCGUAAAGAUCUCAUGUAGAAAUGUCUCUUCUUAGAAAAUGUAAGAAGGUUGCGUACGCGCGCGCACGCGUCAAAACGGACAUCGAACAAAGGAUCGUUAACGCUCGUGCGCUCGUGCGCGCGUGCGCCUUUGUACGACUCUCUCCACUCCUCUUUCUCAUUCCUCAAGACGAAACCAAUUUCAUUGCGUUUCAUUAAGAUAACGCGUCCGCACGAUCCGGCUAACGCCUGGCCCGGUAGAAACUCGUAAAAGUGACUCGUACAUCGAGUCGAGUGUUACGUUGUUACAAUCAGGGACUCGCUUUCACGGAAAGGAAAUCAUUCUUACCGAUCGUAGUCAACUUUUCAGUAUUUUACAUAGAGACCAGGGAAAGCUUUUGUAAGUUAGGAAAUAAUGAGGUGAAAGAAAUUCAUGUUUUUCACCGUUAGGCUCCUACUACUCUAUUCAUUAUCGAUAUGAAUUAUAUUGAGGAACUAUUAUAACUGUGAGAAUGUUAGAGGAAUAAUAAAUGCUAAUAAUUAUGCACCAUAA
Molecule: long non-coding RNA, 2350 nt
Filed under: Polistes fuscatus (common paper wasp)
Lineage: Eukaryota; Metazoa; Arthropoda; Insecta; Hymenoptera; Vespidae
Description: uncharacterized LOC122518964
Source: RNAcentral